Molecule: ribosomal RNA, 253 nt
Filed under: uncultured bacterium
Lineage: Bacteria
Description: partial 16S ribosomal RNA
Rfam family: Bacterial small subunit ribosomal RNA
Source: RNAcentral
UACGUAGGGGGCAAGCGUUGUCCGGAAUCAUUGGGCGUAAAGCGCGUGUAGGCGGUUCAGUAAGUCUGCUGUGAAAGUCCAGGGCUCAACCCUGGGAUGCCGGUGGAUACUGCUGGACUAGAGUGCGGAAGAGGCGAGUGGAAUUCCCGGUGUAGCGGUGAAAUGCGCAGAUAUCGGGAGGAACACCAAUUGCGAAGGCAGCUCGCUGGGACGUUACUGACGCUGAGGUGCGAAAGCGUGGGGAGCAAACAGG